GAUGAACGCUGGCGGCGUGCCUAAUACAUGCAAGUCGAGCGAACGGACGAGAAGCUUGCUUCUCUGAUGUUAGCGGCGGACGGGUGAGUAACACGUGGAUAACCUACCUAUAAGACUGGGAUAACUUCGGGAAACCGGAGCUAAUACCGGAUAAUAUUUUGAACCGCAUGGUUCAAAAGUGAAAGACGGUCUUGCUGUCACUUAUAGAUGGAUCCGCGUUGCAUUAGCUAGUUGGUAAGGUAACGGCUUACCAAGGCAACGAUGCAUAGCCGACCUGAGAGGGUGAUCGGCCACACUGGAACUGAGACACGGUCCAGACUCCUACGGGAGGCAGCAGUAGGGAAUCUUCCGCAAUGCGCGAAAGCCUGACGGAGCAACGCCGCGUGAGUGAUGAAGGUCUUCGGAUCGUAAAACUCUGUUAUUAGGGAAGAACAUAUGUGUAAGUAACUGUGCACAUCUUGACGGUACCUAAUCAGAAAGCCACGGCUAACUACGUG
Molecule: ribosomal RNA, 497 nt
Filed under: uncultured bacterium
Lineage: Bacteria
Description: partial 16S ribosomal RNA
Rfam family: Bacterial small subunit ribosomal RNA
Source: RNAcentral